GCUUCGGGGAACCGAACGAUCCAAGAUCACGCGAAAUCGUCAACAAUCAAAUCCAGCUAACCUACUUAGCGAGGUACGAAGAACGGGCCCCAGAUUCCAAACUUGAAAGAAGAAGAGGCGAUGACAGUGCGUAACACAUUUCGCAGCGACAUUGGAGAGGGUUCCAUUUUAUUAAUGACACCUGAAAGUUCCAUCAUCAUAAAUUCACCUGAAACCACCAUAAUUGAAAGCCCUUGCCCACACAGAACACAUCUUUAGAAGUUCCGGACUGAUGAGAAAAUCUUUUCUAAAUUUGGCCAUCGCAGAAUCUGGGUACGAGGAUCUGCUCUAUACAGCUUGUUAACACUCCAGAUGAAGAAAAGGUGGUCUGUGAAUGACUCUGAGCUCGAAAGGAGGAUAAACUUGUGAAGAAUGUGAAGAAGAGUGAGACCGAACAAGCCGCAGCAUGCCUAUUCAUGUACCUGCUCUGCAGUCGCAAAUCAAGAAGGUUUUGUGGAUUACCCCAGCUCCACGUCCAAGCAAUAAACUGUCCACCUCAUGUAAAAUGUUUUACUGCUGUACUGGUUUUAAGUGACCAAGUUCUUGCCAGAAGAACUACACCGGGCUUGUUACAUUAGGAAUAUUGGUGCCGAUGAGGGAGUCUGCCGGCAUCUAAUCCAGCCCAGUCACAUGGUUUAUUAAUUAAACUCCCGGAGAGCAGCCAUUUGGCUUUUCUACCUUUAAAACCCAGAGAGCAGCCAAAUGGCUUUUAGCUAGGCUUUAGCUUCAGCGAAGUGGA
This is a long non-coding RNA of Astatotilapia calliptera (eastern happy), 778 nucleotides long. Lineage: Eukaryota; Metazoa; Chordata; Actinopteri; Cichliformes; Cichlidae. The record is from Ensembl.